CAACGUAGGUAAUUUGCCUUUGGGUGGGGAAUAACUCAGGGAAACUUGAGCUAAUACCGCAUAAUGCAGCGGCAUUUAAGUAUGACAGUUGUUAAAGCGGAGGAUCGUAAGACUUCGCGCCUAAAGAGAAGCCUGCGGCAGAUUAGCUAGUUGGUAAGGUAAUGGCUUACCAAGGCGACGAUCUGUAACCGGUCUAAGAGGACGGUCGGUCACACUGACACUGAAUAACGGGUCAG
Molecule: ribosomal RNA, 236 nt
Filed under: uncultured bacterium
Lineage: Bacteria
Description: partial 16S ribosomal RNA
Rfam family: Bacterial small subunit ribosomal RNA
Source: RNAcentral